RNAcentral lists this ribosomal RNA (163 nucleotides) under uncultured bacterium. RNAcentral's name for it is "partial 16S rRNA". It matches the Rfam family "Bacterial small subunit ribosomal RNA", at positions 355 to 510 of the family's 1533-position model. The record is from RNAcentral.
UAGGGAAUCUUCCACAAUGGGCGCAAGCCUGAUGGAGCAACGCCGCGUGAGUGAAGAAGGUCUUCGGAUCGUAAGACUCUGUUGUUAGAGAAGAACAUGCAGGAGAGUAACUGUUCUUGUAUUGACGGUAUCUAACCAGAAAGCCACGGCUAACUACGUGCCA